UGGGCCUUACAAAAUUUCUACUGAAUCAUUUAAGUUAAAGUCCACAAUAUCGACCUACCAGUUUCCUAUCUCCUUCGUUGCUUCAAUCUCUUUCAUCCGUAACACUGAAGAUUUCCGUUUACGUUUCACCUUCAUUCACUCCUCCUCAUUCAAUUCCAUCCUUCAAUCCUAUCUUCAUGAGAGAACCAAUAUCCUCCUUUCACCUCCCUUUGUUUCUCCUGUUAUAUAAACCUCCUCCUCCUCGAAUCUCACUUCGAUCCACUUUCUAUGACCUCAUUCAUCUAAUGGUGCUCCACGAUAUGAGCCUCAACUCAAACCAGGCAGUAGUUGGGAAGCUCUCAGAAAAUGGUGAAACCAGUUUCAGAGUCCACAUAUCAGAUUUCUCAUAGACUGUAAAACCAGUUCUAUGUUAAUAUGGUCUCCGCUUCUUUUGUUCAAUCGGCACACUCACCCAUGUUUAUGAUUUUUAGCAAGAUUCAACGAACCCGUAAACGACAGUGAUUUGCUGUAAAAGUUAAAGAUUAUGCCCGUGUGGGAGAGUCGGCCAGGCGAAGAGAUGUUCGAACUGCCAAAGCAACAUGAAAAGUGUAGUAUUCACUACACCAAAGUGGUUGUAUAUUCUAGGUGGUAAUAGGUACAGAAGAUGGUGGCCAAAGAAAAAAGAAUCUACAUAUUUUACUUGAGUACGUAACUAGGAGAAGCUUUCAUAUGGGUAUGGGAGUUUGAAUUGAUCAGUCAAAGUAUACGUGGUCAUAUACGGUGGUGUUAUAUAGUGAUAUAUCAUCCUUCCUUCCAAGAGCUUUAGUGGCUGAAACAGAGUGGGGUUACAUACCUAUGGUGUCCAUAAGAUGACAAUUGGAUAGGAAACUUGGGACAUGUAAUGGUCUUUGAGAUAUUCAAGAAUAAAAAGCAUAAAUGCAUUAAUCAAUUUACAAAGUUGUGAUAUGAAUGUGUGAUUGAUUUAGUAGUUUUUUUGGCACUUCGA
Long non-coding RNA from Brassica napus (rape), 985 nucleotides. RefSeq lists it as uncharacterized. The transcript is spliced from 5 exons. Lineage: Eukaryota; Viridiplantae; Streptophyta; Magnoliopsida; Brassicales; Brassicaceae. The record is from RefSeq and is a predicted model, not a curated record.